Molecule: ribosomal RNA, 279 nt
Filed under: uncultured bacterium
Lineage: Bacteria
Description: partial 16S ribosomal RNA
Rfam family: Bacterial small subunit ribosomal RNA
Source: RNAcentral
UGCCAGCCGCCGCGGUAAUACGGAGGGUGCGAGCGUUAAUCGGAAUUACUGGGCGUAAAGCGCGCGUAGGCGGCUUGGUCAGUUGGUUGUGAAAUUCCAGGGCUUAACCUUGGGUGGUCAAUCAAGACUGCAAAUCUAGAGUACGGUAGAGGGUAGUGGAAUUUCCGGUGUAGCGGUGAAAUGCGUAGAUAUCGGAAGGAACACCAGUGGCGAAGGCGGCUACCUGGACUGAUACUGACACUGAGGUGCGAAAGCGUGGUUAGCAAACAGGAUUAGAUA